This is a long non-coding RNA of Physeter macrocephalus (sperm whale), 4018 nucleotides long. RefSeq lists it as uncharacterized. Lineage: Eukaryota; Metazoa; Chordata; Mammalia; Artiodactyla; Physeteridae. The transcript is spliced from 3 exons. The record is from RefSeq and is a predicted model, not a curated record.
GUGCCCUACGCUCAAAAGGAAAUCAUGUUUCCCCCAAGUCCCUCUAGGAGUUGGAGGGAAAUAUCUGAAUCAACUGAGGGGAACAGAGUGCAGUCACCACCUCUGCACCUCUGAGAGCAGUGAGUGUCUGUGAGCAAUGCCCACUGUAGGCAACGUGCUGGGAAGGAAACAGACCGGCCUCGUGGGCCUCCACCCUGGGCUUCCGCUGAAGCCUCUUAAUUCUUGUGCUGUGGGAAAGACUGGGGCUAGAGUGCCUUCAUCCUUGUUUAGAAGGGGCAGCUGUCAAGGCAGCUGUCAGGACUGCACUGCUCACGUCCCAGGAGACCACACAAAAUGUAUCACCCUGGUCCUUUUGGCCAACAUGCCAUUUCCAGGCUUGGAAGAUGGGGAGGCACCCAGCUCACCAUGUCCCAGACUCGUGCAAAUACUGGGGUUUUGAAGAUAUUCUGGGUCGUAAUUUGGAUUCAGAAUUUUACACCUGUUUGUUUUUCCCAAAAGUGCAGCCACACCUUAAUUUCAUUCUGAAAAUGCUACACAAGUCCCCCAGCCUUGGCAUAGCUUGUCUACACCUGCUGAGUCAGCUGGAUAGUUAGCCAAGAAUUCAGGUAGGCCAUUGUCUGAGAAAUCUGGUUCGCACGAGUCACUCACUGGGAUGCCAGUGAAGCGAGUUGGGACCUUGGCUCUGCCACCAAAUCACCAAGCAUCCUCUCACCUGUUUUCAUCUUACUCAAAUAAGAAAGAUAAUAUCUCAUUUCAAAAUUCUCAGGGCCCGAGAAAAGAACGACCUAACAAAAAAAGAGUCCCCCCAGUUAAAAAAUAACCAUAGUUACAGUAACCACAGGGAAAAAUAUACUUUACAUAAGAGGAGCUUAUGUUUGGGGACCAGUCAUCUUCUGUCUUAGAAGCAGUAUGAGCAAGGAUAUUGAAGGAGCUAAAAGCAUAAAGAUAGAUAUUUGGAAGUCAAGAUCAACUCCCCAGUCCUCUUUGCUCCUGUGAAUGUAAAAGAGGAACAGGGCAUCUGGCAGAAUGCAGCAUCCACUCACAAAUCUAGAAUAAGGAUUCCUUGGACACCUGGCUCUCCAGCAAGUCAGCUAGAGGGAAGGCUUCUAUCACUUACAGCAAAGUACCUAAAUUCCUAAAAAGCAGAUAAUGUCUCCAGGGGACAAAAGUCACUGAAGACCAACUCAUUCGCAAAUGAGUUUCUUUCCGUUUCUUUCUGUUCGGGGUUGGGGGGAGUCAUUUAUGCCUCCUUCCUUCCUCCUCCCCCCCACCCCGCUUCCUCCCUCCUACCUUCUUUUUUCUCUUCUUUCCUCCCUCCCUUCACAAACAUUUUCAGAGUCCCUGCGCUGUGCCAGGCGCUACACUGGGCACCAAAGAUACCAUGAUAAUAAGAUCUGAUCUCUGUGCCCAGGGAAUUAAAAUCUAACAGUGAAAGACAAUUACAGCCCCCUCCUGUUCCAGCUCCAGCUUCUGGCUGCCCAAGCCAGACCCACCUCAUUAAGCCAUUCCCAGAUUCCUGACCCACAAAGCCGUGACAGAUAACAAAGUGACUGCUGUCAUUUGAAGCCACUAAGUUUCAAACUUACACAGCAACAGGUGACUGGAGCCCUCUCCUUCCCCAGCCUCCCUACCCUCUCCAUGCUCACCUUCUCCCUGGACCCUCUGGACCCUCCCCUCCCCACCAGCCUGCUCCUGCCCACUCCUGUGUGCCUUAAGGUGCUCUACCUUAGACCCCCUCUUCUCUAGAAGGACACCCCUGAUGCCCUAACUCCUGACCAUGCACCACGCUUUCCAAGUCCACCAGCAUGUUGUGUUUCUCCCAGCCCAGCCCAUGCUGUAAUUGUCUGUUUAACUGUUUGUCUUUCUCGCCCCCUCAAUGCUCACUUCUGGAGGGAGGGACCUUGCCUGUCCUCACUCAUCCCCAGCAGCUAAUAUGGUGCCAGGCCCAAGGUAGGCCAUAGGUAAACAUCACUGAAUUCCAUGGAAUUCUUAUUCUAAAUUCUAAAAAGGAUCUUUUGGGAGAAGAAAUCCAUGUCAUUUUGACCUUAUUUCCUCACUUUCCAAACUAGUUGUUAAUACUAACUAGAUGAGUUAAGCCAGUCCCACACCAGAACAGGCACUCUGCUCCCCUGAUCCUGUGAGAUGUGCAGCUGUGGGGGCUGUAGCCCCACAAAUGGGGUCUCAGGCACCCAAGGCCCAGGAACAGAUGUUCCAUGAUGUAAGCCAUAAGUCAGCAUUCACACUUAACUAAUGUUCUUUGAUGAGAAAUUCCAGGCCUGCCAACAGAAGGAGGCCAAAAGGGUCAACCCAGGACUCACAACAACAUCCAAAACCCAAGUUAGAACCAAAUUAUUAUUUGGUCUUGUGAUGAUAAAAUGAUGAGGACAUUAGACAAGUUGUAUUAAGUGAAAGUGCUGAGUGUACCUGAAUUCUACUUACUGACACAGGGAGGACUCAGCAUCAGACCACAGUCUUCUGAAGUAUUUCAUCAUGUUUGACUGCCAAGUGGUAAGGCCAGGUUAGUACCGAUGGGGUUUUAACCCUUAAGUCACCUAAGAAAAAUCGAGGGUGCUCUCCUUUAGGACAAGGAGGAUAAAUUAAGCCGGUUAUCUCUCUUCUCAUCUCCCCUCAAAGUGUCUACAGUUCCAUAGAUGGAGAAAUAAAUAUUAUUACAAGAAAAAAAAAUGGCUCUAAAAGGUAAAUAACAUCACCACCUAAGGUGUCCACACAUCCAGGUUUAACUCUCUAAGUAGGAUUUGAAUAUUAUCAAGCAUGGAAGAGCUUUAGAAAAUUCUAGAGGAGACACUGUUGGACAUCUUCACAUCUCAAUUAAUUUCUCUAUGAGUUUUUGAAACAGGGUGACUCUGAAGGUUGUUGGGAAGUCAGAUCAGCCACUAAGAUUUUCAUGUUGCCAAAAGUUCCAACAGUUUCCUCUGAGUAUGUUCGUGAGGCUUCAAAAACUUAAAACUAGUUGACCCCAGCUAAGCACAUUUGUUAAAGGAACACUGACAUGUUAUCUUUUCUGAUAACAUGUCCAGCCCCAGGGGAGACCUUUCCCUCUUAUACUCUGCAUGGCAAGGGGGAGAGGGGGCAGGGAAGAAGCCACCAGAAGCCAGGAGGGAGGAAGGAAGAAGCCAUAUGCAAUCCCCUCCAAAAACGUCUACCACAUGCUUGAAUCUAAUCUGAAUCCUCCAGGCUGUUGGCAGCAGAUGCUAAGAGAAAGGGUUUUUCUAAGUAAAUCUGAGCUCAUGUUGAUGGCCCUCGUCUAAAAUAACUCUCAGUGCAACUCCCUUCUCUCUGCUGCUUGAGCAGGGACUCCAGCAAACCAGAAGAGAUGUGUCCUUCCAAGGACAUUGGAAACAUUGGAUGUGUCCCUCCAAGGACAUUGGAAAACACUGUAUUCUCUUAGUACAAAAGAAGUUUUCAGAAGUUGAUCAUAAUUGCAAAAAUUAAGGGCCGCAUGUGCACGUUCGGGAAGUUCUAUGUGUUCCGUGCCAUGGAUUUGUGGCCUGUGACGUCCAAAGUCCACUGAUGGGUUGUCCUAGUUCCUCAAUGCUUCUGCACGGGUGGGCUGGAGGAAAGUCGUUAGCAAGCUGCUUCCUCAUCUGUGGCUUCUUAGGUGUACUGCGAAACAAGCUUUAGAGAUCAUGGUUACUCCUACAUCCUACCUGGCACACUGGCCUCCUGCUCUUCCUCUGAUGCUGCGACCUCAGGGCAUUUGCACUGGCUGCACUGGCUGUUUCUUUUGCUGAGAAUGUUCUUCACCAGACAUCCACUUGGCUCCUUCAUGCCCCUCCUUCAAGGUUUCUCUCCUAUUGCAACUUCUGGCCCAAGCCUACUCUGAUUACCCCACUUAAUGCUGAAAUGUGCCUACCUCCCGCCCCAUGCCAGCCCCCUCCUCUAUUCUUCUUUGUUACCUUUUCCACAGUUUUGUCACCUGCUAACACACCGUGUAAUUUAGGAUUAAAUCAUGUCUAAUAUUUAUUGUCUCUUUCCCUAUGAAAAUAUAAGCCACAGG